GGUGUAUCGGUUAUGCUGCCAAGUGUACUGCCGAGUAGCCGCGUUCGGUCUGGAUAAGCGCUGAAAGCAUCUAAGCGCGAAGCCAUCCCCAAGAUAAGUUUUCCCUUGAGGGGCGUAGGAGACUACUACGUUGAUAGGCUGCAGGUGUAAAGACAGUAAUGUCAAAGCCGAGCAGUACUAAUUACCCGAACGACUUUUUUGCA
This 203-nucleotide ribosomal RNA is filed under the name Alistipes sp. 56_sp_Nov_56_25. RNAcentral's name for it is "partial 23S ribosomal RNA". It matches the Rfam family "Bacterial large subunit ribosomal RNA", at positions 2711 to 2925 of the family's 2925-position model. The record is from RNAcentral. Lineage: Bacteria; Pseudomonadati; Bacteroidota; Bacteroidia; Bacteroidales; Rikenellaceae.